GACGAACGCUGGCGGCGCGCUUAACACAUGCAAGUCGAACGGAAAGGCCUGCUUUCCCUUGUGGAUUGCGGGUACUCGAGUGGCGAACGGGUGAGUAACACGUGAGUGAUCUGCCCCCAACUUGGGUAUAAGCCUGGGAAACUGGGUCUAAUUCCCGAUAGGACUGCAGGGUGGUGCCUGUGGUGGAAAACGAUUUUCUAGUGGUUGGGGAUGAGCUCGCGGCCUAUCAGCUUGUUGGUGGGGUAAUGGCCUACCAAGGCGGCGACGGGUAGCCGGCCUGAGAGGGUGGACGGCCACAUUGGGACUGAGAUACGGCCCAGACUCCUACGGGAGGCAGCAGUGGGGAAUAUUGCACAAUGGGCGGAAGCCUGAUGCAGCGACGCUGCGUGGGGGAUGACGGCCUUCGGGUUGUAAACUCCUUUCGACCGCGAGGAAGCCACCUGGUUGGAAGGGUGGUGACGGUAGUGGUAGAAGAAGCACCGGCUAACUACGUG
This 494-nucleotide ribosomal RNA is filed under the name uncultured bacterium. Its description in RNAcentral is "partial 16S ribosomal RNA". It matches the Rfam family "Bacterial small subunit ribosomal RNA", at positions 28 to 507 of the family's 1533-position model. The record is from RNAcentral.